This is a non-coding RNA of Danio rerio (zebrafish), 478 nucleotides long. Lineage: Eukaryota; Metazoa; Chordata; Actinopteri; Cypriniformes; Danionidae. The record is from RefSeq and is a predicted model, not a curated record.
GAGUUGAAUUUCUUGCCAAACUUUCCUAAUGGCGAAAAUGAAGAAAGCCAAGAAUGUACAAGAAUAGAACUUGUAGAAGAAAUGAAAAGGAGGCCUCUAAACAUGAGCUUGAUUGGCCAAAAGAUGGACAGUACAUUUGCCUUGAGACGAAAAGAAAUUGUCCACUCUGAACCUCUUGUCAGUGACAUCUUGGAAAAGUGGCCGGCACUUUUUUUGGAAAGUCAGAUCUUUGCAGAAUUCAGUCGAAUUUCGGGAAGAAAUUUGAGAUCGGAGUUCUACACUGCAUUAGACACACACUCAGCUCGCUUGAUAGAAAUUUUCAAAAAAAGAGGAGGAAAUCAGGGAAAAAAACUAGAUGAGAUUUUGCAACAAGUUUAUUCUAAGCCAUCUGAUGUGACAGUUGUCCGCUCCGCAGUUCUUCAGGGUCUUCCAGUCCUUUUGGGGGAUGAGUCUGAAGAUUUUUUCAGGAUGUGUUUUG